This 1047-nucleotide long non-coding RNA is filed under the name Phoenix dactylifera (date palm). RNAcentral's name for it is "long non-coding RNA (PDAC_LNC003460)". Lineage: Eukaryota; Viridiplantae; Streptophyta; Magnoliopsida; Arecales; Arecaceae. The record is from RNAcentral.
AUCAAUUCACUGACCUUUGCUUGGAGGAUUUCUUUCAUAGUCAACCACUAGCUGGGAUGCUAGUGAGGAUGAUAUAUAAUUUUUAUCAUUGUAUGAAGAGCUCAUACAAGGAACUAUUUUAAAUAUAAAAUGUCAAAUUCAUAGUUUGGAAGUAUCUAAAAUGGUUGAAUUUGGUCAUCGCUGUUGUUACAAGGUGUCAGUUAUAAUCUGAUGUGAAAUUGUUAUUAUAAUGGCACACCAUGUUUUUGCACACAACAAAUAACACUAUAUACAGCCUAGAAAUAAUAAAACUAUGGCCUUGCACAUAUAGCAUGUAUUUGGCAGAGAAGAAAGUUGACUUAUUUUGUUCUUAGGGAACACUUUUUUGUUUGAAAGGAAAAAACGCUUAGGGUCCAUCAAUUCCAACAAAAUGACAGUAAAAAAUGGAACUGAAUGCUUUUUAUCAUAGAAAGGGAAAACAAAAUAACGUCAUAAGGCUUAACAAAGAAGCUAUUAGGAAAGGAGAUAUAAGCACCUUCAUGAUGAUUCUAAUUUAGGUGAACAAAAUAGAAACACCAAUAAACACUAGUUAUGUACGAAAAAGGAUUAUUGGAGAAGGAUGAAAAGGUUUUACAAGGAAUGUUUUAGGUCUCUACAUUGGGUACCAUAUAGGUGCCCUGCUGAUUCAGUAUAGUACACACCUGUAUCGAUACAUGGUACACUAAUAGAGUCUGCACAACACCCAUGCCAUGUGUAGAUAUAUAGGCAUACCAAACCUCCAUACUAUAUCAAUGCUAUACCAAGUUAAUACAGUAUGCCCUAUACAGCCUGGUACAAAUUGGCACUAAAUAAUGUUUACAAGUUUGAAAGAUUGGUCUGAAACAAGUCUCGCUUGUGUUCAGUUUGCAUAUCUUAGAACUAGUUAUUUCCAAAUAUGCAGCUCAUCUUGGAAAAAAUUCUACGUAAAUAUGGAAGUAAAAGAGAUGUUGAAAAAAGAAUAUUGAUGUGAGCACUUUUAAAAUCGAUGAUGAAUAUCAAACAUGGUUUAAGUGCAACCACUAUAGAUUN